CAGCUUCCAUGUUGUGAGUUGUUCUCUGGAGAGAUCCACAUGGCAAGAAAUUGAAGGAGGCCUUUGAUUGAAGAACUGAAUCUUGCCAACUACAUCAGUGAGCUUAUGAAGUGAAGUGGGUGUGCCUGGGAUCACACACAGCUGCUGAAAGAAGGUCUCAAGAGCCACAGAUGUCUUGGAUAUUUCUGUAUUUCAGACUCUACUAUCCAGACACCAAAAGAAGAAAUGAUUAACCCUGGAGGCUGCCUCGGUCUAGGUGAAAAAAUGAUUGCACUGUGGUCGUACAUAUAAAGUAGAACUCAGGAUUAAGAAACUCACUCAAAACUGCUCAACUACAUGGAAACUGAACAACCUGCUCCUGAAUGACUACUGGGUACAUAAUGAAAUGAAGGCAGAAAUAAAGAUGUUCUUUGAAACCAACAAGAACAAAGACACAACAUACCAGAAUCUCUGGGAAACAUUCAAAGCAGUGUGUAGAGGGAAAUUUAUAGCAUUAAAUGCCCACAAGAGAAAGCAGGAAAGAUCUAAAAUUGACACCCUAACAUCACAAUUAAAAGAACUAGAGAAGCAAGAGGCAACACAUUCAAAAGCUAGCAGAAGGCAAGAAAUAACUAAAAUCAGAGCAGAACUGAAGGAAAUAGAGACACACAAGAACCCUUCAAAAAAUCAAUGAAUUCAGGGGCUGGUUUUUUGAAAAGAUCAAUAAAGUUGAUAGACCGCUAGCAAGAUUAAUAAAGAAGAAAAAAAGAGAGAAGAAUCAAAUAGACGCAAUAAAAAAUGACAAACGGGAUAUCACCACCAAUCCCUCAGAAAUAAAAACUACCGUCAGAGAAUACUACAAACAUCUCUACGCAAAUAAACUAGAAAAUCUAGAAGAAAUGGAUAAAUUCCUCGACAUACACACUCUCCCAAGACUAAACCAGGAAGAAGUUGAAUCUCUGAAUACACCAAUAGCAGGCUCUGAAAUUGAGGCAAUAAUUAAUAGCUUACCAAUGAAAAAAAAGUCCAGGACCAGAUGGAUUCACAGCCAGAGGUGCAAGGAGGAGCUGGUACCAUUCCUUCUGAAACUAUUCCAAUCAAUAGAAAAAGAGGGAAUCCUCCCUAAUUCAUUUGAUGAGGCCAGCAUCAUCCUGAUACCAAAGGCUGUCAGAGACACAACCAAAAAACAGAAUUUUAGACCAAUAUCCUUGAUGAACAUUGAUGCAAAAAUCCUCAAUAAAAUACUGGCAAACCGAAUCCAGCAACACCUCAAAAAGCUUAUCUACCAUGAUUAAGUGGGCUUCAUCCCUGGGAUGCAAGGCUGGUUCAACAUACGAAAAUCAAUAAACGUAAUCCAGCAUAUAAACAGAACCAAAGACAAAAACCACAUGAUUAUCUCAAUAGACGCAGAAAAGGCCUUUGACAAAAUUCAGCAACCCUUCGUGCUAAAAACUCUCAAUAAAUUAGGUACAAAACUCUCAAUAAAUUAGGUACUGAUGGGACUUAUUUCAAAAUAAUAAGAGCUAUCUAUGACAAACCCACAGCCAUAUCAUACUGAAUGGACAAAAACUGGAAGCAUACCCUUAGAAAACUGGCACAAGACAGGGAUGCCCUCUCUCACCACUCCUAUUCAACAUAGUGUUGGAAGUUCUGGCCAGGGCAAUCAGGCAGGAGAAGGGAAUAAAAGGUAUUCAAUUAGGAAAAGAGGAAGUCAAAUUGUCCCUGUUUGCAGAUGACAUGAUUGUAUAUCUAGAAAACCCCAUCGUCUCAGCCCAAAAUCUCCUUAAGCUGAUAAGCAACUUCAGCAAAGUCUCAGGAUACAAAAUCAAUGUGCAAAAAUCACAAGCAUUCUUAUACACCAAUAACAGACAAACAGCAUGCCAAAUCAUGAGUGAACUCCUAUUCACAACUGCUUCAAAGAGAAGAAAAUACCUAGGAAUCCAACUUACAAGGGAGGUGAAGGACCCCUUCAAGGAGAACUACAAACCACUGCUCAAUGAAAUAAAAGAGGAUACAAAUGGAAGAACAUUCCAUGCUCAUGGACAGGAAGAAUCAAUAUCGUGAAAAUGGCCAUACUGCCCAAGGUAAUUUAUAGAUUCAAUGCCAUCCCCAUCAAGCUACAAAUGACUUUCUUCACAGAAUUGGAAAAAAGCACUUUAAAGUUCAUAUGGAACCAAAAAAGAGCCCACAUUGCCAAGUCAAUCCUAAGCCAAAAGAACAAAGCUGGAGGCAUCACGCUACCUGACUUCAAACUAUAAUACAAGGCUACAGUAACAAAAACAGCAUGGUACUGGUACCAAAACACAGAUAUAGAUCAAAGGAACAGAACAGAGCCCUCAGAAAUAAUGCCACAUAUCUACAACUAUCUGAUCUUUGACAAACCUGACAA
Molecule: long non-coding RNA, 2368 nt
Organism: Gorilla gorilla gorilla (western lowland gorilla)
Lineage: Eukaryota; Metazoa; Chordata; Mammalia; Primates; Hominidae
Exons: 4
Source: RefSeq, a predicted model, not a curated record